Long non-coding RNA from Myotis brandtii (Brandt's bat), 163 nucleotides. RefSeq lists it as uncharacterized. The transcript has 3 exons. The record is from RefSeq and is a predicted model, not a curated record. Lineage: Eukaryota; Metazoa; Chordata; Mammalia; Chiroptera; Vespertilionidae.
CAGGCAUGGUGUCAGAUUCCUCACAUCACCUUUCAACAUCUCGUGGAGUCAAUGCCAAGAAGAAUCGUCGCUGUAUUGAAAGCAAAAGGUGGCCCAAACGCAGUACUGAUGGGGUGGUCAUAAUAAUCUGGCCACUCAGUGUAUAAUCCUGGAGGUGUUAGUU